UACGAAGGGGACUAGCGUUGUUCGGAUUUACUGGGCGUAAAGCGCGCGUAGGCGGAUCGCUAAGUCAGGGGUGAAAUCCCAGGGCUCAACCCUGGAACUGCCUUUGAUACUGACGAUCUGGAGAUCGGGAGAGGUUGGUGGAAUUCCGAGUGUAGAGGUGAAAUUCGUAGAUAUUCGGAGGAACACCAGGAGCGAAGGCGGCCAACUGGCCCGAUACUGACGCUGAGGCGCGAAAGCGUGGGGAGCAAACAGG
This 253-nucleotide ribosomal RNA is filed under the name uncultured bacterium. RNAcentral's name for it is "partial 16S ribosomal RNA". It matches the Rfam family "Bacterial small subunit ribosomal RNA", at positions 524 to 776 of the family's 1533-position model. The record is from RNAcentral.